RNAcentral lists this ribosomal RNA (450 nucleotides) under uncultured bacterium. Its description in RNAcentral is "partial 16S ribosomal RNA". It matches the Rfam family "Bacterial small subunit ribosomal RNA", at positions 338 to 795 of the family's 1533-position model. The record is from RNAcentral.
CCUACGGGUGGCUGCAGUGGGGAAUAUUGGACAAUGGGGGCAACCCUGAUCCAGCGACGCCGCGUGUGUGAAGAAGGCCUGCGGGUUGUAAAGCACUUUUAGUGGGGAGGAAGGUCUGCGACCUAACACGUCGUGGAAUUGACUUAACCCACAGAAAAAGCACCGGCUAACUCUGUGCCAGCAGCCGCGGUAAUACAGAGGGUGCAAGCGUUAAUCGGAGCGACCGGGGGCAAAGUGGGCAGAGGCGGGUGAAAGCCCCGGGCUCAACCUGGGAAUUGCAUUCGAGACUGCGAAGCUGGAGUGCGGAAGAGGGAAGUGGAAUUUCCGGUGUAGCGGUGAAAUGCGUAGAUAUCGGAAGGAACAUCAGUGGCGAAAGCGACUUCCUGGUCCAGCACUGACGCUCAGGCACGAAAGCGUGGGGAGCAAACAGGAUUAGAUACCCUUGUAGUC